UACGAAGGGGGCUAGCCGUUGCUCGGAAUCACUGGGCGUAAAGGGUGCGUAGGCGGGUCUUUAAGUCAGGGGUGAAAUCCUGGAGCUCAACUCCAGAACUGCCUUUGAUACUGGGAGCUUGAGUCCGGGAGAGGUGAGUGGAACUCCGAGUGUAGAGGUGAAAUUCGUAGAUAUUCGGAAGAACACCAGUGGCGAAGGCGGCUCACUGUCCGGUACUGACGCUGAGGUGCGAAAGCGUGGGGAGCAAACAGG
RNAcentral lists this ribosomal RNA (252 nucleotides) under uncultured bacterium. RNAcentral describes it as "partial 16S ribosomal RNA". It matches the Rfam family "Bacterial small subunit ribosomal RNA", at positions 524 to 776 of the family's 1533-position model. The record is from RNAcentral.